UAUACGGUGAAACUGCGAAUGGCUCAUUAAAUCAGUUAUCGUUUAUUUGAUAGUACCUUACUACUUGGAUAACCGUGGUAAUUCUAGAGCUAAUACAUGCUAAAAACCCCGACUCCGGGAGGGGUGUAUUUAUUAGAUAAAAAACCAAUGCCCCUCGGGGCUCCUUGGUGAUUCAUGAUAACUUAACGAAUCGCAUGGCCUUGCGCCGGCGAUAGUUCAUUCAAAUUUCUGCCCUAUCAACUUUCGAUGGUAGGAUAGUGGCCUACCAUGGUAUCAACGGGUAACGGGGAAUUAGGGUUCUAUUCCGGAGAGGGAGCCUGAGAAACGGCUACCACAUCCAAGGAAGGCAGCAGGCGCGCAAAUUACCCAAUCCCGACGCGGGGAGGUAGUGACAAUAAAUACUGAUACAGGGCUCUUUUGGGUCUUGUAAUUGGAAUGAGUACAAUUUAAAUCCCUUAACGAGGAACAAUUGGAGGGCAAGUCUGGUGCCAGCAGCCGCGGUAAUUCCAGCUCCAAUAGCGUAUAUUAAAGUUGUUGCAGUUAAAAAGCUCGUAGUUGAACCUUGGGCCUGGCUGGCCGGUCCGCCUCACCGCGUGCACUGGUCCGGCCGGGCCUUUCCUUCUGGGGAGCCGCAUGCCCUUCGCUGGGCGUGCCGGGGAACCAGGACUUUUACUUUGAAAAAAUUAGAGUGUUCAAAGCAGGCCUUUGCUCGAAUACAUUAGCAUGGAAUAAUGGAAUAGGACGUGUGGUUCUAUUUUGUUGGUUUCUAGGACCGCCG
RNAcentral lists this ribosomal RNA (778 nucleotides) under Lichenothelia arida. Its description in RNAcentral is "SSU rRNA". It matches the Rfam family "Eukaryotic small subunit ribosomal RNA", at positions 75 to 862 of the family's 1831-position model. The record is from RNAcentral. Lineage: Eukaryota; Fungi; Ascomycota; Dothideomycetes; Lichenotheliales; Lichenotheliaceae.